CAGUAGCCACGGUAAUACGGAGGGAGCUAGCGUUGUUCGGAAUUACUGGGCGUAAAGCGCGCGUAGGCGGUUACUCAAGUCAGAGGUGAAAGCCCGGGGCUCAACCCCGGAACUGCCUUUGAAACUAGGUGACUAGAAUCUUGGAGAGGUCAGUGGAAUUCCGAGUGUAGAGGUGAAAUUCGUAGAUAUUCGGAAGAACACCAGUGGCGAAGGCGACUGACUGGACAAGUAUUGACGCUGAGGUGUGAAAGCGUGGGGAGCAAACAGGAUUAGAUACCCGUGUAGUCCCUGUCUCUUAUAC
This 301-nucleotide ribosomal RNA is filed under the name uncultured bacterium. Its description in RNAcentral is "partial 16S ribosomal RNA". It matches the Rfam family "Bacterial small subunit ribosomal RNA", at positions 509 to 807 of the family's 1533-position model. The record is from RNAcentral.